Molecule: transfer RNA, 72 nt
Filed under: Salmo salar (Atlantic salmon)
Lineage: Eukaryota; Metazoa; Chordata; Actinopteri; Salmoniformes; Salmonidae
Rfam family: tRNA
About the family: Transfer RNA (tRNA) molecules are approximately 80 nucleotides in length.
Source: Rfam by way of RNAcentral
GGUUCGAUGGUGUAAUGGUUAGCACUCUGGACUUUGAAUCCAGUGAUCCGAGUUCAAAUCUCGGUAGAACCU